AUGGUGAAGGUGAAGAAGGAGGGACCCUGCUGCCAUUGCCGAGUCAUGAGCAGUCCUCUCUGGCGACACGGGCCACCGGAGAAGCCGGUGCUCUGCAAUGCGUGUGGGACGAGAUGGAGGAAAAAGGGUACACUGGACAACUACACACCAGCACCACAAGUGCAGAGGAAACAACCCAAUAAAACGCCCAUCCGCACAACAGUGAAGAAAGAACCAUCUUCUCAUCACAACUCCUUGAAGACAGGGGAUGCUGCUGACACAAGCAACAGUCCAUCUGGUUUCGGAUCGGCGCUAUCGUAUUCAGGUUCGGCGCAAUCACAUGCCCGGGAGCCACUGGUACCAUCAAGAAAAAAGAGUUGCAUCGGUCGUCGUAAGCCGUCAACGGUGGAAGCGCUUGCAGAGGAUCUCAACUCCAUAAUGCAUGAAGAGCAGUUAUGCCCUGGUUCAGCGGUUCGUACCAUUCCAGGAUCCUCAGACGAAGACCUACUGAUUUAUCAUGUCGACACUCCCGCUAGCUGCUUUGAGAUUGGUUAUGGAAGCAUGCUUCUUAGACAUCCAAACUCAGGAUCAGAAGCAAAUUCUGUUCCUGCACAUAGCAAGUCAUAUGUGACAAGUCAGUCCUAUUCGGGGCCUGCCUCAUUUACUCUGCAUAGUGGAAGCAACGGAGCGAGCAACUCAAAUGCCGCAUCUGAGAAGCUAAUGUGGUCACAUGAGAGUUCUAGGAGGCAUGAACUUCAUUGUUCGAAGCAGCAUAUCCUGGAGAGCAAUGAAGUAGGAGGAAGAGGAAACGCCGGUGGCGCUUACAGAGGCCUUACCAAGUCCACUAUGAAGUCUCUCAGACGACUUUAUGAAAGCCAGCCUCAAAACUUCACAGAUGCAGAAGUGAGAGGAGGAAGCCUUCUUCUAUAUCUGGGGCUAUGGCUUCUUCUCAGUUGA
Molecule: ribosomal RNA, 936 nt
Filed under: Triticum aestivum (bread wheat)
Lineage: Eukaryota; Viridiplantae; Streptophyta; Magnoliopsida; Poales; Poaceae
Description: partial small subunit ribosomal RNA
Source: RNAcentral